Molecule: long non-coding RNA, 6145 nt
Filed under: Cricetulus griseus (Chinese hamster)
Lineage: Eukaryota; Metazoa; Chordata; Mammalia; Rodentia; Cricetidae
Description: lncRNA (ENSCGRG00015040396.1)
Source: RNAcentral
GGAGAAAGCAACAGUAAGCAGGCAAAGAAAUGCAUAAUUUAUUUUUUAGGCCAUGUAAAUGCUAUGAAAAGGACCAAACUUUCUAAAUAGUAGCAUGGCAGUGUAUGUAGGGAGAGCUGCUCUUUUGGUGGGGGAGGGGAGAAUAGUUUGGUCAAAGACUUGAAUGAAGGUCCUGAAAGCAGAGCAUCCUGGGUAGAGAGAAGAGUAUGUGCAAGGGUAUGGAGUUGAGAGCAGCGACUUCAAGGAUCUGAGGUCAGUCUUUCCUUCCUUCCUUCUGUUCCUUCCUUCCUUCCUUCCCUUCCUUCCUUCCUUCCUUCCUUCCUUCUUUAUCCCUUUCUUCCCACCCCCACCCCUUCUCUUUUUCUUUCUUGAGAAAGGGUUCAUGUAGCCCAAGCUGACCUAGAAUCUGCUGAUAUUGACCUUGAAUUUCUGAGCUUUUUUCCUCUACCACCCAAGUGCUGGGUUACAGCUAUGCACUGCACCGCCCUGUCUGACCUAUGUGGUGCUGGAAAUUAGACUCAGGGUGUUGUGCAUGCUAGGCAAGCAUCCCACUGAGCUCCGUCCCCAGUGCUGCGUGGAUCUGUGACUUUCUGAGGCAGAAAUCAACCAACCUUGAUGUAUGUGGUGGUGUAUGCUUGUAAUGCCAGCACUCAGGAGACAGAGUCAGGAAGAUCAGUAGUUCAAGGCCAGCCCCGUCUACAUAGUGAGUUCCAGGACAUCUGGGCUAUAUAAAACCCUCAAUUUUACCAAAUAUUCAUAAAAGUCAACCAGCUGUUCCUGCAUACUUUUAUGUCUUUUUCUUGCUCUAGAAUCAGACCCCUCACAGUUGCUCAAAUGCCUCAUCUCCAAAUUCCACUGGCCUCCAAUCCCAAUGGCAUCUUCAGUUCUUUGGAUAAAACAACAUGCCCUUGCCACAGGGCCUUUGCACAGAUAGUUGGUGGCUACUCAGUUCCCUUCCACUAGUCAAGAAUCCUUUGUUAGAUGCUUCCCCCAAAUUCACAUAAUCAGACCCUUUAUCUUACUUGGUAAUUAUGCAUUAAUCGGCAUGCUUACCUGGAGAUCUGGGGUCUUGUCUGAUAUCUAGCUCCAGGCACAGGGCCUGAUCUCUGGAAGAUACCCCCACCCACAUGCUUUUUCUGGACAGAGUUUCUCUGUGUAGCCCUGGGUAUCCUGGAACUACCUCUGUAGACCAGGUUUGGCCUUGAACUGGGAGUUCUACCUGCUUCUGCCUCCUUAGUGCUGGGAUUAAAAGUGUGCAUCACCACCACUGGGCUUUCUGGAAUAUACUUAGUGCUUGUUGAACAACUACUCAGGAAUGCUGUGGUAAAGGAUAUAGCAUGGGGGAGGGACUUAAAUCUACUGAUUAGUAGCAUCCAGGAGAAGUGAGUUGUUCUGGAGGGAAAGAGUACCUCAGGAGAGCAUAAUGACAGACUUUGAUUCCAGAAGCCACAUGCCAGUGAAGGACCAGUCUCUUGAGCCUUAGGGGAACUGGGUGGUAUUCCUUCAAGGAUGAACGGAGGAGGGACUCUGUCCUUAGAUCAUGGGCUGUUGGGCUUUUCAGCUAUAAAAUGGGCGCCCCCAAGGGCAGAGUCAUUUCCAGCUUGCCACCGGUGCAGGGACUGUAGGCUGUUGCUUCCCUGCUCCCCUCCUCCCCACUAGCUCGGCAGGGUACUGGGAGGGAAGAAGGGGGGGUGCUUCCUUAAGUCUUAAGUGCCUCCACAGCUGGAGCAGUGGUGCGUAUUUUAAGUGGAGUUUGCAGACAAUGGAGCUCUCUAGGGCUUGGAGGGGAAGGAAGCUGAAAUUCAGGACCAUUCUGUGAAUUCCCAAGUUCUUUGUGUCCAUUGUGUAGGAGAACAAUGCUGUUUGUUUGGCUUGUUCACUCAAGGUAGGGGAUUGGGGCUGGUGUGUGUGUGUGUGUGUGUGUGUGUGUGUGUGUGUGUGUGUUCCAGCACACUGAAAUUCCCAGAGUGGCUAGCCUACUUAGGGAGUGAAGGAUCCCUUAAAAAACUGGGGGUGGCUGUAGGUAGAUGGGAAGCUGUGGGGCUGGCAGGAGAGGAACUGAGUUCCCUGGGCUGUCCUUUAGUUUCAAGCCUUGCUUCCUUAGGGAUUUCUGCUCCUUUCUAGAGGAUUCUAAGCCCAGAGGCUGCAUCGUAUGGAGGAAGGGUCAACCAAAUAAAUACCAGUUGAACAAGUCUCUUCAUCCUGAGGCCUCACCUUCUUCUAUGUCCAUGGUCAAGUGUUUGGCUAGACAGAGAUGUUCACAACAUGUCAGCUCAUGCACUCCUGCACUCCUUGGGCCAGAGCUAGCUCCCCUCCUGGAGUACAUCAUUCUGUCUCACCAAGCCUUUCCUUGACCUUGAUUUUGGCUGAUGAAUGCACAGUCUGGGUCCCCAGCAGAAGCUGUACAUACACAGAACAAAGGACACAGGAGGCCUGAGCUUAGGUUAUAGAACCUCAGUAAGACCACAUGGCAGCUUGACUUACCCAGUGCCAAGCAGGUGCUCCAACCCUGAGCUUAACCUCCCGAGACCCCUCUCCUUCAGACUUAGCAGCUGUGUAUGGACUCUGUGCAGAUAUUACCUUCUAUUGCCUGAUCAAAGUCCCGCUGUGCCAUUGACUAUCCCAGCCUCAGUUUCCCUCUGCAGAUCAGACAACAAUCAUUCUACCCUGCUGAGCUUCAGCAAGGAGUAAAUGAAAUAGUGCAGCUCAAGGCCUGUGUGUCAUUCCUGCCUCUGUUGUUCAGACACGGGAAUCAAGGCAGAGGAGACAAGCUUCCCGCGGAGGAUAAAUGAAGGCAUUUCAAUUCAAGUCCAGGCCGCUGGCUCUAAAGCUGGGUUUUGACCAUCACCCCAGGCCUCCUGAAGAUAGAGGACUGAUGCUGGCUCUGAGCAGGCUUCUCUGGACUUUCCAACAGCACCUGCCAAAGCCAAGUUUCCCCAGUAAGAGGAGUCAUAGUGUCUAACCAACGCUGGGGGUUGAGGCUCCUCCAGCUCUGCCCACUGAUCUACUGGAGGUUGCAGUGCCCCCCCCCCCAACUCUGGCAAGGAGUGCCUUUCCCAAGCAAGGGGCACCAGCUCCGAAUAAGGAACAGCCUUGGGGCUGGAAGCUGAGUUCCAGGGUCUGAGAUUACAGUUUGGUAGGUGCUGGAGACAGCACCUGGGACCUGAUGUGCUCAGUGUGAGUCCUGAGGCUCACCAGGGAGCUUGUCUAUGCUUUGGACUUUCACUCGGCAAAGGCACAGACCAAUGCACCAAGAUGAAAUAGCCCUGGGAAUGAGAAUAGAAGCUCAAACCUUGGGGACCACAAUGGUGUGAAGGGGAGCUGAGCCAUGGCUCCCUCCAGUUUCUACCCUCUCCCUUCACCCACCUCAGCUCAGCCUCUUGCCACCUUCAUUCUCUCCACCCCUUCUCUCCCCAGCUUGUGGCUUCCAACUGAAUGAGAAGAGGGAGAAAAAAGGAUGGAGAAAGGCCUGGGGGAAGGGGUGUCCACUUUGUCGAUGUGAUGCUGCAGUCAUUCUGUGAAUGAAGCAUAGUGAUAGUGUGACCUUCUGUGGCUGCUGUGAGUAAAUAUGAACUGGAAGGCUGUGUGUAAAUUGCUUAGCUUAGAGCCUGGCAGCUUAGCCAGGAAGAGAGAGAAGAUGAGGAUGAGAGCCAGCUUCUGGUGAGAUACCUGCCCUCAUUCAAGUGCUGGGACAGCUUGGGAAUAUUCAGAGGAAGGACCACGUGUCAUGGCUCUUAUUUCCAUCACGUCACCAUGGCCAUCAUCUCUCUCUCACCUUGACUCGUGUUGGGUUGCUUCUGGUGACACUCUUCCUUGUUCUGUUCCUCCAGCAAGCACCUCUCCUGAGUAUCCUGGGGCUUUGGUGAUGUCAUCCCACCAGGUUGCUGCUGCCAGUGGUGAGCCAGGCUCCAGAAAAGGCCCCUCUGACCUGGCUGGUCCAUGGAGGGGUGCAGUUCACAGAAAGAGUGAGCAUUCAGUUAGGACCAUGAGUUGGAACAAGCAGAGGGGCUCUUGUGGUUACAGAGAAGAUGCAGCAGGGAGGCUCUCACAUGCCUCUCCAUUUGUCCCAGAGAAAUGAGUGUAGUUGACUUUGGAUCCUUGGAGUGACAGGUUCCAGGACUGCCUCACCACUGGUUACCUGAGUCAAUACCUGUCCAAUCCUUUGUAUAAAAUGUAGAAUUUGCAUAGAGCCCUCACAGUCUUGCAGCCUACUUUAAAUCAUGUCCAGAUGACUUACAAUGCCUAAUACAAUGUAAAUGCUGUGCAAAUAGUUGCCGCACUGUGUUGUUAGGAAAUAAUGGCAAGGGAAAUCUCCUCUACAUGUUCAGUACAGAUGUAAUUUCCUCCCCCCAAAGAUUUUCUAAUCAAAGUUUGUCGAAUCCACAGAUGUGCAACCCAUGGGCAUGGAGGGCUGGCUGUCCUCUCUAGUUAGGGGCUAUUAUUUCUCUCUCUCUGUAUGUAGGUAUGUAUGUAUAUGUGUAUAUAGCUAUAUACAAAUAAUAAUAUACAUACACACAAAGGUAUGCAUAUACAUAUAUAUUAUAUAUAAUGCAACGAAGAAAUUCUGAGACAUCUAGCCCUACGAGAUGCUGUGGACUUGCUGUCAUUCUUUUAUUCAACAAAUGUUUGUUUCCUUGUUUAUUUAGUGAGUUUGUGGGUGUAGGUGUGUACACUUGCAUGUGGAAGACAGAAAUCAACUUUGGGGAUGUCAUUCUCGGCGUUACCUACCUGGAGCUUUUUCUGAACACUUUUAAAAAUGUAUUAUUAUCAUUUUGCAUAUGUGUGUGGCAUUUGUGUACAUGCAUGCUUUUAUGUGUGACUAUACACGUGUCUGGAGGCUCAAAGUUAAUGCCAAAUGUCUUCCUCAGUUUCUUUCUUCUCUAUUUACUGAGGCAGGACCUCUUCCUGAAGCUGGAACCCAUCAACUCUGGAUAAUAUAUCAGUCUAGCCUACUCCAGGGAGCCCCUCUUUCUGUCAACUAAGUUUUGGGAUUGCAGUUUGCCUCCAUGCCUGCCCAGCAUCUACCUGGUGCUGGAAAUCCCAACCCUGGUCCACAUGCUUGCACAGUAAAUGAUUUAUACACAGAGACAUCCACCCAAUCCACACCUUAUGAGACUGGCUUUGAACUUAUCAAUUAGGCAAGGCUGGCUGGCCAUCAAGCCUCAGGAUGAGAGCCAGCUUCUGAUGAGAUACCUGCCCUACUGUGUGUUUGCAGCCCUGACAGUUUAGUUUGCUUCUGAUGACGAUAUUGUACCCACUGAAUAGAGGAGGAACCCAAGACUCAGAAAACAAAACAUUUCCCUUCUCUACUUCUCGGCUUUAAGCCAGCCUUUCUGUGACUCAGAACCUGCUGAGGACCUCUCUGCUUCCCAGAACAGUCUGGAGCAACGCUUGAGGCAGGAUCAUCCACAUCUGGAACAUACCAAGAGUGUGUCUUGUGACAACUGACUGAUAGAGCCCAGGUCCUCAGGCAGAGGCACACUGUGAGCCACUGUAUGAGCCACCCCCACACAGGUACAGCUUCCAGGAGAGAGACUGCAUUCUGAGUGUGUGUGUGUGGGUGCGUGGGGAGUUAGUGGGGUUCUCAGUCACAAGGUUCAGAGCACCUUCCCUAAUAGUCUUACAGUCAGUACCCAUUCUUAAAGUGCCCCCAUCCCCACCCCUGUUGCCAUAUCUGGGCUUACAGAAUAUUGGUUUCUUAUUUAACACAACACAGAAGUGCUGUUCAAAGAUCUGUUAAGACAGGAAGGCCAGUCCUGAAGCAUAGGCCUGUAAUCCUGGCUAUUUGGGGGGCUGAGGCAGCAGGACCACUAGUUUAAGGCCAGUUUGGAUAACAUGGUGACACCCUGUCUCAAAAUAAAAAGUGAAAAGAGGGCUGGGGUGUAGCUCGAUGGUAGACCCUAGAUUCAAACCCUAGUACCACAAUAUUGGAAAAGAAGAUAGGUUUAGUUGCACAUUUCCUGCCUCUCUUCAUAAGGAACUUCACUUUCUCUCAGGAGAGCAGAGGGGAAGAAGAGGCUGGAUGGAGGGUGGGGAGAAGAUGCCUGAAGCCCAUCCUGUACUCUAGGAAGGGAGGGGAGGCCUGUGGGCAGCGGCUGGAGCAAGGGCCCAAAUCCUCAGUCCUGGGAUUGGGAGAGCUGGCAGG